CUCUGGAAAGCAACGGCCACAGCCGUUCACCGACGGGUGCAAGCCGCGUUGUAGCGAUGCGGCGAAAUCUCUCAGGUUCCCAGACAGAG
RNAcentral lists this non-coding RNA (89 nucleotides) under Pseudomonadota bacterium. RNAcentral describes it as "Proteobacteria bacterium Glycine sequence". It matches the Rfam family "Glycine riboswitch aptamer", at positions 9 to 86 of the family's 94-position model. Rfam says of the family: This family represents the bacterial glycine riboswitch. Glycine riboswitches usually consist of two metabolite-binding aptamers domains with similar structures in tandem. The aptamers cooperatively bind glycine to regulate the expression of downstream genes. The record is from RNAcentral. Lineage: Bacteria; Pseudomonadati; Pseudomonadota.